This 483-nucleotide ribosomal RNA is filed under the name uncultured bacterium. RNAcentral describes it as "bacterial SSU rRNA". It matches the Rfam family "Bacterial small subunit ribosomal RNA", at positions 1 to 507 of the family's 1533-position model. The record is from RNAcentral.
ACACCGACUACGAGUUUGAUCAUGGCUCAGAGCGAACGCUAGCGGCGGGCCUAACACAUGCAAGUCGAGCGGAGAACUUCGGUUCUUAGCGGCGGACGGGUGAGUAACGCGUAGGUAAUGUGCCUUCUGGUGGGGAACGAACCGUGCGAAAGCAUGGCUAAUACCGCAUAUGUCGAGAGAUGAAAGCCUUCGGGCGCCAGUAGAGCAGCCUGCGUCCCAUUAUUUAGUCCUAGUUGGUGAGGUAACGGCUCACCAAGGGUACGAUGGGUAGCUGGUCUGAGAGGAUGAUCAGCCACACUGGAACUGAGACACGGUCCAGACUCCUACGGGAGGCAGCAGUGGGGAAUAUUGCGCAAUGGGCGAAAGCCUGACGCAGCCACGCCGCGUGAGUGAUGAAGGCCUUCGGUUGUAAAGCUCUGUCGGGAGGGAAGGAAGGCGCAAGCCUGACGGUACCUCGCAAGAAAGACACCGGCUAACUCUGUG